UGAAAUAAGUGGACAUAGAGCAGUAAA
RNAcentral lists this small RNA (27 nucleotides) under Bombyx mori (domestic silkworm). Its description in RNAcentral is "ovarian small RNA-30533". Lineage: Eukaryota; Metazoa; Arthropoda; Insecta; Lepidoptera; Bombycidae. The record is from RNAcentral.